Carcharodon carcharias (great white shark) is the source of this 117-nucleotide small nuclear RNA. RefSeq annotates it as U5 spliceosomal RNA. The record is from RefSeq and is a predicted model, not a curated record. NCBI's taxonomy places the organism in Eukaryota, Metazoa, Chordata, Chondrichthyes, Lamniformes, Lamnidae. The transcript has a single exon.
UGACUUUGGUGGUCUCUUCAAACCGGAUAAAUCUUUUGCCUUUUAUUGAAGAUUUCCAUGGAGCAAAUGGAUCCAGAGUUUUGAAGCAAGUUUUGAAUGCCUGACCUCAGUCAGGUU